UGCAAGGGAGGCUGGGAAAUGUAGAGGGAGGUUGCAGAGUAUUGGGGAAGCGCUGAGGUGGCGAGGUUAGAUGGGAGAGAUCAUGGAACUUUUGACGUAGAAGAGAGGAAUGCGUGGACAGGGGCCUGGAGCCCCAGAGGGAGCCCCAGCAUUUGAGGAGUGGGGGGAAGAAAAGCCCUAAACCACAGAGGAGGGUUGACCAGGAGGUCGGUGGGGAGGGUCUGUCCGGGGCCUCUCAGAUCCUGAUGAACUUCUUGACCCUCUGGGCCCCAGUUUCCUCUGCUGCUGCUGUUUCCCAGGGCCGACAGUCUUGCGGGAGGAUGAAGAAGAUGAACAAACCACACAAACGUAAUGUGAUGUUGGGUUGAUGUGGUGUUCAGGAAGUGGUGGAGGGACAACUUGCUACUUGAGUUAAGCCCCACCCUCUUCCUGCCCACUGGGAUGCUCUGAAGGGAACUGAGGCUGCUUUUAUACGGAAAGGGGAAGAACAGGAAGGCCCUCCCCACCAAACCUGGAAGAGGAGGACUGCAGAAGUGCCCGCGAGGCGAGCCAACAAGGAGGCAGUCUUGGACAGGCAGUCCCCCAGAUGGACCCUGAAGCCGAGGAGGCCAAGGGGCUGCUGCACCCAGAAUGGGGGUCCUGGUUCUGCCAAUGGGGUAGAGGAGCCUGGCGGAGGGAGCCAAGCCCCAUUUCCUGCCCCAGUUCCACCUCUUUGUUUUCUUUCCCUCCUCUUCCCCCCCACCACACUCGCAAUAAAAACAUAA
This is a long non-coding RNA of Callorhinus ursinus (northern fur seal), 764 nucleotides long. RefSeq lists it as uncharacterized. The record is from RefSeq and is a predicted model, not a curated record. NCBI's taxonomy places the organism in Eukaryota, Metazoa, Chordata, Mammalia, Carnivora, Otariidae.